GCGCCCUUAAUUCAGUUGGUAGAAUGCAAGUCUCCAAAACUUGUUGCCGAGGGUUCAAAUCCUUCAGGGCGCG
This 73-nucleotide transfer RNA is filed under the name Poteriospumella lacustris. RNAcentral describes it as "tRNA-Trp". It matches the Rfam family "tRNA". From Rfam's summary of the family: Transfer RNA (tRNA) molecules are approximately 80 nucleotides in length. Their secondary structure includes four short double-helical elements and three loops (D, anti-codon, and T loops). The record is from RNAcentral. Lineage: Eukaryota; Chrysophyceae; Chromulinales; Dinobryaceae.